UCGGGAAUAUUGCGCAAUGGAGGAAACUCUGACGCAGUGACGCCGCGUAUAGGAAGAAGGUUUUCGGAUUGUAAACUAUUGUCGUUAGGGAAGAAAAAGACAGUACCUAAGGAGGAAGCUCCGGCUAACUACGUGCCAGCAGCCGCGGUAAUACGUAGGGAGCAAGCGUUAUCCGGAUUUAUUGGGUGUAAAGGGUGCGUAGACGGGCGAUCAAGUUAGUUGUGAAAUCCCUCGGCUCAACAGAGGAACUGCAACUAAAACUGGUUGUCUUGAGUGCAGGAGAGGUAAGUGGAAUUCCUAGUGUAGCGGUGAAAUGCGUAGAUAUUAGGAGGAACACCAGUGGCGAAGGCGACUUACUGGACUGUAACUGACGUUGAGGCACGAAAGUGUGGGGAGCAAACAGGAUUAGAUACCC
Molecule: ribosomal RNA, 415 nt
Filed under: uncultured bacterium
Lineage: Bacteria
Description: bacterial SSU rRNA
Rfam family: Bacterial small subunit ribosomal RNA
Source: RNAcentral